Molecule: transfer RNA, 64 nt
Filed under: Paraleptophlebia submarginata
Lineage: Eukaryota; Metazoa; Arthropoda; Insecta; Ephemeroptera; Leptophlebiidae
Description: tRNA-Tyr
Rfam family: tRNA
About the family: Transfer RNA (tRNA) molecules are approximately 80 nucleotides in length. Their secondary structure includes four short double-helical elements and three loops (D, anti-codon, and T loops).
Source: RNAcentral
GGUAAAGUGGCUGAGGGUAGGCGGUAGAUUGUAAAUCUAUUUAGGGGGAGUUCCUCCUUUACCA